Molecule: ribosomal RNA, 259 nt
Filed under: uncultured bacterium
Lineage: Bacteria
Description: partial 16S ribosomal RNA
Rfam family: Bacterial small subunit ribosomal RNA
Source: RNAcentral
GUCCUAGCCCUAACGAUGAUUGCUUGGUGUGAUCGGUACCCAAUCCGAUCGUGCCGAAGCUAACGCGAUAAGCAAUCCGCCUGGGGAGUACGGUCGCAAGGCUGAAACUCAAGGAAUUGACGGGGCCCGGCACAAGCGGUGGAGCAUGUGGUUCAAUUCGACGCAACGCGAAGAACCUUACCUGGGCUCGAAAUGGAGUGGACCGGGUAGAAUAUCCCUUUUCGCAAGAACUGCUCUAUAGGUGCUGCAUGGCUGUCGU